This 397-nucleotide ribosomal RNA is filed under the name Clostridioides difficile. RNAcentral's name for it is "bacterial LSU rRNA". It matches the Rfam family "Bacterial large subunit ribosomal RNA", at positions 1084 to 1487 of the family's 2925-position model. Lineage: Bacteria; Bacillati; Bacillota; Clostridia; Peptostreptococcales; Peptostreptococcaceae. The record is from RNAcentral.
CACAGACAACCAGGAUGUUGGCUUAGAAGCAGCCACUCAUUCAAAGAGUGCGUAAUAGCUCACUGGUCGAGUGAUCCUGCGCCGAAGAUUUCCGGGGCUAAAACUUACUACCGAAGCUACGGCAUCAGUAAUGAUGGGUAGGGGAGCUUCCCAUACGGGUUGAAGCAUGACCGUAAGGACAUGUGGACAGUAUGGGAGUGAGAAUGUUGGCAUGAGUAGCGAGAUGUGGGUGAGAAUCCCACAGGCCGUAAACCCAAGGUUGCCAGGGGAAGGUUCGUCCGCCCUGGGUUAGUCGGGACCUAAGCUGAGGCCGAAAGGCGUAGGUGAUGGACAACAGGUUGAUAUUCCUGUACUACCGAUAACCGUUUGAGAGAAGGGAUGACACAGUAGGAUAAGC